RNAcentral lists this unclassified non-coding RNA (352 nucleotides) under uncultured fungus. RNAcentral's name for it is "sequence contains 5.8S rRNA gene". The stretch from base 1 to 53 matches the Rfam family "5.8S ribosomal RNA", at positions 102 to 154 of the family's 154-position model. The record is from RNAcentral. Lineage: Eukaryota; Fungi.
GAACGCAUAUUGCGCUCUCUGGUAUUCCGGAGAGCAUGCUUGUUUGAGUAUCAGUAAACACCUCAACUCCCCUUUCUUUUUUUGAAAUGGGAGCUGGACUUGAGUGAUCCCAACGCUUUUCUCACCGAAAAGUGGCGGGUUACUUGAAAUGCAGGGGCAGCUGGACUUUUUUCUGAGCUAAAAGCAUAUCUAUUUAGUCUGCCUAAAAAACAGAUUAUUACCUUUGCUGCAGCUAACAUACAGGGUAACUGUCAGUGUUCCGACUGAUGCAGGAAAGUUGAGAUGGGUUCUUCGGAACCUGGCUCUUCUAAACUCGAUCUCAAAUCAAGUAAGAAUACCCGCUGAACUUAAG